RNAcentral lists this ribosomal RNA (492 nucleotides) under uncultured bacterium. RNAcentral describes it as "partial 16S ribosomal RNA". It matches the Rfam family "Bacterial small subunit ribosomal RNA", at positions 29 to 507 of the family's 1533-position model. The record is from RNAcentral.
AGUGAACGCUGGCGGUAGGCCUAACACAUGCAAGUCGAACGGCAGCACAGUAAGAGCUUGCUCUUACGGGUGGCGAGUGGCGGACGGGUGAGGAAUACAUCGGAAUCUACUUUUUCGUGGGGGAUAACGUAGGGAAACUUACGCUAAUACCGCAUACGACCUACGGGUGAAAGCAGAGGAUCUUCGGACCUUGCGCGAUUGAAUGAGCCGAUGUCGGAUUAGCUAGUUGGCGGGGUAAAGGCCCACCAAGGCGACGAUCCGUAGCUGGUCUGAGAAGAUGAUCAGCCACACUGGAACUGAGACACCGUCCAGACUCCUACGGGAGGCAGCAGUGGGGAAUAUUGGACAAUGGGCGAAAGCCUGAUCCAGCCAUACCGCGUGGGUGAAGAAGGCCUUCGGGUUGGAAAGCCCUUUUGUUGGGAAAGAAAAGCAGCAGGUUAAUACCCCGCUGUUCUGACGGUACCCAAAGAAUAAGCACCGGCUAACUUCGUG